GUCAGGCCUAACACAUGCAAGUCGAACGAUAUAGUGGCAGACGGGUGAGUAACGCGUGGAAACGUGCCUUUCACUACGGAAUAGCUUUUGGAAACGAAAGGUAAUACCGUAUACGCCCUCCGGGGGAAAGAUUUAUCGGUGAAAGAUCGGUCCGCGUUAGAUUAGCUAGUUGGUAAGGUAACGGCUUACCAAGGCUACGAUCUAUAGCUGGUCUGAGAGGAUGAUCAGCCACACUGGGACUGAGACACGGCCCAGACUCCUACGGGAGGCAGCAGUGGGGAAUAUUGCACAAUGGGCGCAAGCCUGAUGCAGCCAUGCCGCGUGAAUGAUGAAGGCCUUAGGGUUGUAAAAUUCCUUCGCCAGGGAUGAUAAUGACAGUACCUGGUAAAGAAGCCCCGGCUAACUUCGUGCCAGCAGCCGCGGUAAUACGAAGGGGGCUAGCGUUGUUCGGAAUUACUGGGCGUAAAGCGCACGUAGGCGGACUAUUAAGUCAGAUGUGAAAUCCCGAGGCUCAACCUCGGAACUGCAUUUGAAACUGGUAGUCUAGAGAUCAGGAGAGGUUAGUGGAAUACCGAGUGUAGAGGUGAAAUUCGUAGAUA
RNAcentral lists this ribosomal RNA (599 nucleotides) under uncultured bacterium. Its description in RNAcentral is "bacterial SSU rRNA". It matches the Rfam family "Bacterial small subunit ribosomal RNA", at positions 41 to 696 of the family's 1533-position model. The record is from RNAcentral.